RNAcentral lists this ribosomal RNA (2879 nucleotides) under Acinetobacter baumannii AB4857. Its description in RNAcentral is "bacterial LSU rRNA". It matches the Rfam family "Bacterial large subunit ribosomal RNA". Lineage: Bacteria; Pseudomonadati; Pseudomonadota; Gammaproteobacteria; Moraxellales; Moraxellaceae. The record is from RNAcentral.
AGUGCAUGUGGUGGAUGCCUUGGCAGUCAGAGGCGAUGAAAGACGUGAUAGCCUGCGAAAAGCUCCGGGGAGGCGGCAAAUAUCCUUUGAUCCGGAGAUGUCUGAAUGGGGAACCCACCUACUUUAAGGUAGGUAUUGCAACAUGAAUACAUAGUGUUGCAAGGCGAACGAGGGGAAGUGAAACAUCUCAGUACCCUUAGGAAAAGAAAUCAAUUGAGAUUCCCUCAGUAGCGGCGAGCGAACGGGGAUCAGCCCAUUAAGUUAUGUGUGUUUUAGUGGAACGCUCUGGGAAGUGCGAACGUAGAGGGUGAUAUUCCCGUACACGAAAGGGCACACAUAAUGAUGACGAGUAGGGCGAGGCACGUGAAACCUUGUCUGAAUAUGGGGGGACCAUCCUCCAAGGCUAAAUACUCCUGACUGACCGAUAGUGAACCAGUACCGUGAGGGAAAGGCGAAAAGAACCCCUGUGAGGGGAGUGAAAUAGAUCCUGAAACCGCAUGCAUACAAGCAGUGGGAGCACCUUCGUGGUGUGACUGCGUACCUUUUGUAUAAUGGGUCAGCGACUUAUAUUCAGUAGCGAGGUUAACCGUAUAGGGGAGCCGUAGAGAAAUCGAGUCUUAAUAGGGCGUUUAGUUGCUGGGUAUAGACCCGAAACCAGGCGAUCUAUCCAUGAGCAGGUUGAAGGUUGGGUAACACUAACUGGAGGACCGAACCCACUGUCGUUGAAAAGCCAGGGGAUGACUUGUGGAUAGGGGUGAAAGGCUAAUCAAGCCUGGUGAUAGCUGGUUCUCCCCGAAAGCUAUUUAGGUAGCGCCUCGGACGAAUACCAUAGGGGGUAGAGCACUGUUUCGGCUAGGGGGUCAUCCCGACUUACCAAACCGAAGCAAACUCCGAAUACCUAUGAGUACUAUCCCGGGAGACAGACUGGCGGGUGCUAACGUCCGUAGUCAAGAGGAAAACAAUCCAGACCGCCAGCUAAGGCCCCAAAAUCAUAGUUAAGUGGGAAACGAUGUGGGAAGGCAUAGACAGCUAGGAGGUUGGCUUAGAAGCAGCCACCCUUUAAAGAAAGCGUAAUAGCUCACUAGUCGAGUCGGCCUGCGCGGAAGAUGUAACGGGGCUAAAACUAUGUGCCGAAGCUGCGGAUGUAUACUUUGUAUACGUGGUAGGGGAGCGUUCUGUAAGCCGAUGAAGGUGUGUUGAGAAGCAUGCUGGAGGUAUCAGAAGUGCGAAUGCUGACGUGAGUAACGACAAAACGGGUGAAAAACCCGUUCGCCGAAAGACCAAGGGUUCCAGUCCAACGUUAAUCGGGGCUGGGUGAGUCGACCCCUAAGGCGAGGCCGAAAGGCGUAGUCGAUGGGAAAAUGGUUAAUAUUCCAUUACUUCUGUGUAAUGCGAUGAGAGGACGGAGAAGGCUAAAUCAGCCUGGCGUUGGUUGUCCAGGUGAAAGGAUGUAGGCAUGUAUCUUAGGCAAAUCCGGGGUACUCUAUGCUGAGAUCUGAUAGCAAGCUGUACUUGUACAGCGAAGUGGUUGAUGCCAUGCUUCCAGGAAAAGUCUCUAAGCUUCAGUUACACAGGAAUCGUACCCGAAACCGACACAGGUGGUCAGGUCGAGUAGACCAAGGCGCUUGAGAGAACUCUGCUGAAGGAACUAGGCAAAAUGGUACCGUAACUUCGGGAGAAGGUACGCUGUUGUUGGUGAUGGAACUCGCUUCCUGAGCUGACGACAGCCGCAGAAACCAGGCCGCUGCAACUGUUUAUUAAAAACAUAGCACUCUGCAAACACGAAAGUGGACGUAUAGGGUGUGAUGCCUGCCCGGUGCUGGAAGGUUAAUUGAUGGGGUUAGCGUAAGCGAAGCUCUUGAUCGAAGCCCCAGUAAACGGCGGCCGUAACUAUAACGGUCCUAAGGUAGCGAAAUUCCUUGUCGGGUAAGUUCCGACCUGCACGAAUGGCAUAAUGAUGGCGGCGCUGUCUCCAGCAGAGGCUCAGUGAAAUCGAAAUCGCUGUGAAGAUGCAGUGUACCCGCGGCUAGACGGAAAGACCCCGUGAACCUUUACUGCAGCUUGACACUGAACUUUGACCUUACUUGUGUAGGAUAGGUGGGAGGCUUUGAAGCUGGAACGCUAGUUCCAGUGGAGCCGUCCUUGAAAUACCACCCUGGUAAUGUUGAGGUUCUAACUCUGUCCCGUGAUCCGGGACGAGGACCGUGUCUGGUGGGUAGUUUGACUGGGGCGGUCUCCUCCUAAAGAGUAACGGAGGAGUACGAAGGUGCGCUCAGCGUGGUCGGAAAUCACGCGUAGAGUAUAAAGGCAAAAGCGCGCUUAACUGCGAGACCCACAAGUCGAGCAGGUACGAAAGUAGGUCUUAGUGAUCCGGUGGUUCUGUAUGGAAGGGCCAUCGCUCAACGGAUAAAAGGUACUCUGGGGAUAACAGGCUGAUACCGCCCAAGAGUUCAUAUCGACGGCGGUGUUUGGCACCUCGAUGUCGGCUCAUCUCAUCCUGGGGCUGAAGCAGGUCCCAAGGGUAUGGCUGUUCGCCAUUUAAAGAGGUACGCGAGCUGGGUUUAGAACGUCGUGAGACAGUUCGGUCCCUAUCUACCGUGGGCGCUGGAAAUUUGAGAGGAUCUGCUCCUAGUACGAGAGGACCAGAGUGGACGAACCUCUGGUGUACCGGUUGUGACGCCAGUCGCAUCGCCGGGUAGCUAUGUUCGGAAGGGAUAACCGCUGAAAGCAUCUAAGCGGGAAGCCUACCUCAAGAUAAGAUUUCCCUAGGACUUUAUGUCCUCUAAAGAGCCGUUCGAGACUAGGACGUUGAUAGGUUGGAUGUGGAAGCAUAGUGAUAUGUGAAGCUGACCAAUACUAAUUGCUCGUGAGGCUUGACU